GAGAACGCAGAGCAACUUUCACUUGACUGCAGUGUUUCUUCAAUCGGGUGCCAGUGAUGGAACUGAGAUUUGUGAGACAAAAUCCAAUCCAGCCAUCUCCCUGAGCAGUUUGAGGUUAACAUUCUUGUUCAAGGGCCUGCGCUGCCUCUCUACAGUCCUGAGUUUGGAACUCACAACCAGUUAUUAGGAUCAAAUGAGAUCAGCAGAUGAACUGCAUGGACUCCGGAGUGACUCUGGCGAAUAUGCCAGUCACAUACACAUCAAAGAGUGGAUAGGCUGCCAUUAGAGAAAGCAAUGGUCUCAUUGGCCUUUACAUUAGCAGAAAGAGAAGAAGUGGCUGAAGAAACCCAGCACAGGCAACUUUGAUAGAGCAGAAUGACACAUUCAGGUAUAGUAUGAGUUAGAACAUAGUAAACAUUUGACAAACUCUAUCUGUCCAUCAAUCCAUUUUCCAUACCACUUAUCCUACACAGGGUUGCAGGAGAGACUGGAGUCUAUUCCAGGGAACUCAGGGCACAAGGCGGGGGACACCCUGGAUGUGGUGCCAAUCCAUCACAGGGCACAAUCGCACAGCCAUUCACAUACUACGGACAAUUUGGAAAUGCCAGUCUGCCUACAACACAUGAGUACCUGGAGGAAACCCCUGGAGCAUGGGGAGAACAUGCAAACUCCACACAUACAGAGCAAAGGCAGGAUAUGAACCCCCAACCCCGGAGGUGUGAGGUUCUCAAACUGGAUAAGGGAAUGUCACCUUAAGCUCAACUUGGCAAAAAACGGAACUUCUCGUCAUCCCACAACCUCACUGUACAGAUAGGCUCAACCACACUCAAGCUAACCAGGACAGCCAGAAACCUUGGGGUGACUUUCGAUGACAACUUGACCUUUACAGACCGCAUUUCAACAACUGCAUGAUCCUGUAGGUUAAUUCUGUACAACAUCAAGAAAAUCAGACCCUAUCUCACUGAACAGGCUACACAGGCUCUUGUUAUCUCAAAAGUGGACUACUGCAAUGCUCUACUCCCAGGCCUCCUAGCCAGCUCCAUCAAACCCCUUCGGAUGAUUCAGAAUGCAUCAGCAUAGCUUGUUUUCAACCAGCCCAAAAGGACCCAUGUCUUUUCAUCUCCCUCCACUGGCUUCCUGUAGCUGCCCACAUUAAAUUCAAGGCCUUGAUGCUCAUGUACAAGACCUUGUCUGGAACAGCACCUCCCUACCUCAAUACUCUCUUUGAGGUUUAUGCUCCCUCAUGCAACCUGCGAUCAGUUAAUGACAGACGCCUGGUAGUGCCUGCUCAGCGAGGCAUGAGGUCCCUUUCCAGAACCUUCAAAUUGACUGUCCUUCAGUGGUGAAAUGAACUUCCCACCUCAAUCCAGACAGCAGAAUCCAUCACCAUCUUCAAAAAACAGCUAAAGACCCACCUCUUCGGUGAACACUUAACUAACCCCUUGAAUAUUUCAGAAGUUUUUAAUUGUGAUGUGAACAUUAACAAAUUGCUUUGUAUCUGUCAGAACAAUCUCUUACACUUGCAAUGACUUAAUGAUCCUCAUUCAUUCAUCUAUCGUAACUGCUUUAUCCUGGUGAGUAUUGUGGACUAUUCGGAGCCUCACCCAGGAACACUAUUUGCGAGGAGGGAAUACACUCUGGAUGGGGACGCCAGGCCCAGACACAUUCACACACUCAUUCAGUAACCUGAGCUCAGGAUCGAACCAGGGACCCUAACACCAUGAAGCAGCAAUGCUGCCUGCUGCACCACCAUAAUUUAUAAUCAAUAAUAAUCAAGCUCAUUUAAUUCUAAGCAUAGUCAGUUAGGAAUACUUCCAUGUGUAUCCAGUGUAAUAUGAGAGUCUUUUGUAGUAUGUAACUUAAUUUUGAAAGAUAUAUUUAUAAGAAGCAACCCAAUUAAAUGAGAUGCAUGUCAAGCUUUUAUUCCAUACAAUCUGCUUUUUAAAGUUGUUCCAUAUGAUUUUCAUAUUAAUAAUAUUAUUAGGAACGUAAGUAUGUAAGAUACAGCCAUGAUGCAUCUCAAAACUGAAUUAGUCCUGCUAAUAUUAUAUAUUAAUUUCCAAUGAGGCUAAAUAUAAGCAGAGUGCCAAAUCAUAGUUCAUGAUCAUCUUGUGCUAUGUUACUUUUGUAAAUUCUAAUAUGGAUGAUGGCUGUAAUUUUAAACAGCCUUGUUUAUUGGCAUCCUGAAUCUCUUCAAUAUAACACCUAGGUUUUGACUGAAUGAUUUGCAAGUCUCAUACAUGUAUUUUAGCAAAGUUUCCCCAGAAUUCUUGUUAAA
Ictalurus punctatus (channel catfish) is the source of this 2278-nucleotide long non-coding RNA. RefSeq lists it as uncharacterized. Lineage: Eukaryota; Metazoa; Chordata; Actinopteri; Siluriformes; Ictaluridae. The transcript is spliced from 3 exons. The record is from RefSeq and is a predicted model, not a curated record.